This is a long non-coding RNA of Harpia harpyja (harpy eagle), 598 nucleotides long. RefSeq lists it as uncharacterized. The transcript is spliced from 3 exons. The record is from RefSeq and is a predicted model, not a curated record. NCBI's taxonomy places the organism in Eukaryota, Metazoa, Chordata, Aves, Accipitriformes, Accipitridae.
AAUAUCAAAGGGUGCAGAAGGGUACACAACACGUCUCACCUGUCCCCAAUCUCCUGCUUUCCACUUCGGACAUCUGCCCCCUCUGCAUUUCUUUUGCACAUUGGGUUUAGCAAGACUGAAACCAGGACAUGCUCAUCCUUAAGAUUUAUGCAUUUUGAAAACAACUCAGAAGGUGGCAAGAAGGCAGAGCCCGACGAAUCAAAGCAAAAAGGAGAUCAGCAGGCAAUGAACGUCAGCAGCAAGAAGGAAUGUCAAAUCCUACCAAACCCAGUUGUAAGCUUCUAAUACUUUCAUCCAUUUACUAUCUUUGGACUAAAUACCAACACCGAUGCUUUAGCGAAAAUUCAAGUGCUUCUCCGUAAGCGCUCUCCAUGCAGGUUGAUGCCACUUUACUGUGACAGCCAAAGCUAAAGAGUAAAUUCACUGACUUGAUCAGCGCUCUCUCUUGCCCCACAUCCCAAGCCGGUACAGCCUUGCACAUCUCUCCAAUUCAAAAAAUACAUUGGAUCCGCUACUUAUUCUAAAGGAAGAAUACCCAUAUUGUGCAACAACACAAGCAUGUUUCUGGGGACCUGAAGUUGGUCGAUAAAUAUUUGAU